Molecule: long non-coding RNA, 880 nt
Filed under: Homo sapiens (human)
Lineage: Eukaryota; Metazoa; Chordata; Mammalia; Primates; Hominidae
Description: HSALNT0197560
Source: RNAcentral
CAAAUUUCAGGGGCUCCUGCAGCUGAGACAUGGACCCUACUUUACGCCAAGCAGAGGGCCGUGGGGUUCCCUCGUGUGACUGUGAGGUUUGCUGGAGACUGCGAGCCUGCCAGUGUGGCCUCUGCCCUGCCUGGUGCCCAUCCUGUCUCCGAUCCACCUGCACGCCGCAUCCUGGAUCCUCAUCUCCCGCACCCAUGGAUUUCAGCAUCCAGUGUUUCUUGGCGUUCCCUCUCACAGGCCCAGUUCCUCAUGGACGUGAGACCUUCCCACCCAGCGUCUCCCCGAACACGGCCGGUAGUGUUCAGCCUUUCACCACUCCUUCUCUGCCACUCGACUUCUUGCCAGCUGGUGUCCAGUUACAUUUUGGCAAAGGUGGUCACCGGGCAGACCUGGAGAGAGGGAAGACAUGGAAGCCCUCUCUGCCCUCUGCAGUGGCAUCGUGAGACGUGGUCUCUGAAUAACAGAAGAUCUUCUUCAGAAACCUCAAGCUCCGAUGAUGCCUUCAGACCCAUGAAGAUGGAGUGUGAAAUUCCAUGAAUAUCGAGUCUAUUUUCUGGACCCCAGAGCUGUGCGUCUUCCUCUCUGUCGGGCUCAUUCUGAAGCACAGUCCCAGCAUCCAUAUGGCAGAUGCAGCAUCCACGUGGCAGAUGCUUCCUGGACACUCUUAACAGCAUCCACAUGGCAGACGCUUCCUGGACACUCUUAACAGUCACAGGACACUUGGGCUAGUCAGGACACAGAGGACACAGCAGGCUGCAGCUGCAGAGCUUGAAAAGAUUUAUUUUAAAAGCCCAAGGGGAUAAAUACAGCAUCUCUCACAUUACUCCAUACUUAAAAAUAUUUGGAUUAAUUAUAUUAAAAAUUUGCAUUCAAAAGCGUU